GAAUGACAUGACGAUUAUUUAUUUCCCUAUUGGUUUGAUUGCCAGGAUGAUGGCGCUAUUGUAUUAGCUCUAUCUGAUCAUUC
Molecule: non-coding RNA, 83 nt
Organism: Vigna angularis (adzuki bean)
Lineage: Eukaryota; Viridiplantae; Streptophyta; Magnoliopsida; Fabales; Fabaceae
Source: Rfam